GUAGUCGGAUUCACAUCAAUCCAUGUAUAUUGGGGUGGGUUGGAGUGGAACUUGAACUAAAUUCCACCCCAAUCCACUCCAACAUAUAUGGAUUGAGGUGAAUCCGAUA
Sorghum bicolor (sorghum) is the source of this 109-nucleotide microRNA precursor. It matches the Rfam family "MIR5565 microRNA precursor family". NCBI's taxonomy places the organism in Eukaryota, Viridiplantae, Streptophyta, Magnoliopsida, Poales, Poaceae. The record is from Rfam.